GACGAACGCUGGCGGCGCGCCUAACACAUGCAAGUCGAACGAGUGAGAGAGAGCUUGCUUUCUCGAGCGAGUGGCGAACGGGUGAGUAACGCGUGAGGAACCUGCCUCAAAGAGGGGGACAACAGUUGGAAACGACUGCUAAUACCGCAUAAGCCCACAGCUCGGCAUCGAGCAGAGGGAAAAGGAGCAAUCCGCUUUGAGAUGGCCUCGCGUCCGAUUAGCUGGUUGGUGAGGUAACGGCCCACCAAGGCGACGAUCGGUAGCCGGACUGAGAGGUUGAACGGCCACAUUGGGACUGAGACACGGCCCAGACUCCUACGGGAGGCAGCAGUGGGGAAUAUUGGGCAAUGGGCGCAAGCCUGACCCAGCAACGCCGCGUGAAGGAAGAAGGCUUUCGGGUUGUAAACUUCUUUCUUAGGGACGAAGCAAGUGACGGUACCUGAGUAAGAAGCUCCGGCUAAAUACGUG
RNAcentral lists this ribosomal RNA (468 nucleotides) under uncultured bacterium. RNAcentral's name for it is "bacterial SSU rRNA". It matches the Rfam family "Bacterial small subunit ribosomal RNA", at positions 28 to 507 of the family's 1533-position model. The record is from RNAcentral.